CGGCAGGCUAAUCGAGGCGGAGUUGGAUAGUUCCUGGCUGCAUGCAUGCAACCCCGGGCCUAUAUGCAUGCCGCAUAUGCCAUGCGAUUGGUAUGUGUAGCCACU
This is a long non-coding RNA of Aricia agestis (brown argus), 105 nucleotides long. RefSeq lists it as uncharacterized. The record is from RefSeq and is a predicted model, not a curated record. The transcript is spliced from 3 exons. NCBI's taxonomy places the organism in Eukaryota, Metazoa, Arthropoda, Insecta, Lepidoptera, Lycaenidae.